Molecule: non-coding RNA, 126 nt
Filed under: bovine gut metagenome
Description: FMN riboswitch (RFN element)
Rfam family: FMN riboswitch aptamer (RFN element)
About the family: The RFN element is a highly conserved domain that is found frequently in the 5'-untranslated regions of prokaryotic mRNAs that encode for flavin mononucleotide (FMN) biosynthesis and transport proteins.
Source: RNAcentral
CUUCAGGGCAGGGUGCAAUUCCCGACCGGCGGUAAGAAGCCAGCGCUUCAAGUCCGCGAACCGCACAAAGUGCGGCCGAUCCGGUGAGAUUCCGGGACCGACAGUACAGUCUGGAUGAAAGAAGGA